RNAcentral lists this ribosomal RNA (460 nucleotides) under uncultured bacterium. Its description in RNAcentral is "bacterial SSU rRNA". It matches the Rfam family "Bacterial small subunit ribosomal RNA", at positions 330 to 788 of the family's 1533-position model. The record is from RNAcentral.
UCCAGACUCCUACGGGAGGCAGCAGUGAGGAAUAUUGGUCAAUGGCCGGAAGGCUGAACCAGCCAAGCCGCGUGAAGGACGAAGGUGCCAAGCAUUGUAAACUUCUUUUGUCAAGGGACAAAAUCAGGCUCGAGAGCCUGACCGAGGGUACUUGAAGAAAAAGCAUCGGCUAACUCCGUGCCAGCAGCCGCGGUAAUACGGAGGAUGCGAGCGUUAUCCGGAUUUAUUGGGUUUAAAGGGUGCGUAGGCGGAGUGCCAGGUCAGCGGUAAAAUCGCGGGGCGCAACCGCGCUCCGCCGUUGAAACUGGCGUUCUUGAGUGGGCGAGAAGUAUGCGGAAUGCGUGGUGUAGCGGGGAAAUGCAUAGAUAUCACGCAGAACUCCGAUUGCGAAGGCAGCAUACCGGCGCCCAACUGACGCUGAAGCACGAAAGCGUGGGUAUCGAACAGGAUUAGAUACCCU